AUAUAAAAAUUUAAUUUGUAUUUAAGGUUAACUUAUAUAUUUAAUAUAAUAUAUAAAACUUCCUGAGAUAUAAUUUAAAUAAAUAAAAUAUUUUUAAUAAAUAAAUUUUUUCUAUAAAGAAAUUUAUAUUUGUAAAAUUUAUAUAUUCGUUAAAUUAGGUGCCAGCAAUUGCGGUUAAACUUAAAAAUAAAAAUUAACUAUAAUUAAUUUUAAUUUAAUUUUUUUCAAUUAAAAAUAAUUUAAUAAUAAAUUUUAAUUUAAUGAUAAAAUAUAUUAAUUAAUUCAUAUUAUUAAAUUAUUUAAUUUUAAUAAAUUAAUAAAUUUAGCUUAAAACUAGGAUUUGAUACCCUAUUAUAUAAACGUAAACAACAAAUAAAGUAAAUUAUAAUAAAUGAAAUUAAUGAAUUUGAUAGUAUUUUAAUUUAGUUAGAGGAACUUGUUAUUUAAUUCGAUAAUCCACGAUAAGACAAAUUUAUACUAAUAAGCUUAUAUAUAUUCGUUUGCAAUUUUUUUUAAAAAAACAACUUUUAUAAUAAUUAAUUUAUUUAUUAAUAAUUCAGGUAAAUAUGUAGUUAAUGUAUAAAAAUAAAUGAGUUACAAUAAAAUAUUAUAUUAAAAAUCAAUCUUUUUAAAAAAAUUGUUUUUAAGAAUUUAAAAGUAAAAUUAAUAAAAUUUAUUAACUUGAUUAAAUAAAUUUUGAAAUAUGUACAAAUCGCCCGUCAAUUUGAUCAAUUUUGUGUAAAGAGAGAUUAAAUAAGUCGUAACAAAGUAAAUGUACUGGAAAGUGUAUUUAGAAUAUCUAAAAAGUAUUAAUA
RNAcentral lists this non-coding RNA (815 nucleotides) under Oberthuerella sharkeyi. Lineage: Eukaryota; Metazoa; Arthropoda; Insecta; Hymenoptera; Liopteridae. The record is from RNAcentral.